This 131-nucleotide small RNA is filed under the name Arabidopsis thaliana (thale cress). RNAcentral's name for it is "ATSL069820". Lineage: Eukaryota; Viridiplantae; Streptophyta; Magnoliopsida; Brassicales; Brassicaceae. The record is from RNAcentral.
UAUAUAUAUAUAUAGGACUUCUGUUACCUUAUAGGUAGCAAUAUCAUCUCUGAGACGAGAUUUCACAAAAAGAGCAUGGGUCAGUUUUGGUCUUGACCUCAGCCAUUCAUAAACUCCGACUCCUGCAGCAU